UUUUAUUGGGUCUAAAGGGUCUGUAGCCGGCCAAGUAAGUCCCUUGGGAAAUCUGGCAGCUUAACUGUCAGGCUGCUAGGGGAUACUGCUAGGCUUGGGACCGGGAGAGGUGAGAGGUACCUUGGGGGUAGGGGUGAAAUCUUGUGAUCCUCGGGGGACCACCAGUGGCGAAGGCGUCUCACCAGAACGGGUCCGACGGUAAGGGACGAAAGCUAGGGGCACGAACCGGAUUAGAUACCCGGGUAGUCCUAGCCGUAAACGAUGCUCGCUAGGUGUCAGUCACGGUGCGACCGUGAUUGGUGCCGUAGGGAAGCCGUGAAGCGAGCCACCUGGGAAGUAUGGCCGCAAGGCUGAAACUUAAAGGAAUUGGCGGGGGAGCACUACAACGGGUGGAGCCUGCGGUUUAAUUGGAUUCAACGCCGGAAAUCUCACCGGGGGCGACAGCGAUAUGAAGGUCAGGCUGAAGACCUUACCCGAUUAGCUGAGAGG
This 489-nucleotide ribosomal RNA is filed under the name uncultured methanogenic archaeon. RNAcentral's name for it is "bacterial SSU rRNA". It matches the Rfam family "Archaeal small subunit ribosomal RNA", at positions 499 to 987 of the family's 1478-position model. Lineage: Archaea; Methanobacteriati; Methanobacteriota. The record is from RNAcentral.